RNAcentral lists this ribosomal RNA (253 nucleotides) under uncultured bacterium. Its description in RNAcentral is "partial 16S ribosomal RNA". It matches the Rfam family "Bacterial small subunit ribosomal RNA", at positions 524 to 776 of the family's 1533-position model. The record is from RNAcentral.
UACAGAGGGUGCAAGCGUUAAUCGGAAUUACUGGGCGUAAAGCGUGCGUAGUCGGCUUUUCAAGUCGGGUGUGAAAGCCCCGGGCUCAACCUGGGAAUUGCAUUCGAUACUGGAUCGCUAGAGUUCGGCAGAGGGAAGUGGAAUUUCUGGUGUAGCGGUGAAAUGCGUAGAUAUCAGAAGGAACAUCAGUGGCGAAAGCGACUUCCUGGACCAGAACUGACGAUCAGGCGCGAAAGCGUGGGGAGCAAACAGG